GUAUGUGGCCAUAUCAGUCUGAAUGUGCCUGAUCUCCUCUGAUGUCAGAAACUGAGUAACCAGCUGGGCUGGCUUAGCAUUUGGGAGGGAAAAGGAACUUUCAUAAA
RNAcentral lists this ribosomal RNA (107 nucleotides) under Mus pahari (shrew mouse). RNAcentral describes it as "rRNA (MGP_PahariEiJ_G0032646.1)". Lineage: Eukaryota; Metazoa; Chordata; Mammalia; Rodentia; Muridae. The record is from RNAcentral.